This 406-nucleotide unclassified non-coding RNA is filed under the name fungal sp. RNAcentral's name for it is "partial internal transcribed spacer region". The stretch from base 1 to 46 matches the Rfam family "Eukaryotic small subunit ribosomal RNA", at positions 1786 to 1831 of the family's 1831-position model. The record is from RNAcentral. Lineage: Eukaryota; Fungi.
AAGUCGUAACAAGGUUUCCGUAGGUGAACCUGCGGAAGGAUCAUUAACACGUAUCCAACGUUAAACAACCCUGUGAACUUUAAGUCCCCUCUUGCAGCCCAUGAGGAACAGCAAUCCCGGUAAAUCAUUGCCAAACAGUUUUGAUUCGGGACCUCUGUCCAAAAGGAGUUGCAAUCGAAGGGUGGAAGCAGUGGCAUGGUAGCAACCGUGAGGCGUUAUCCUUACACAGUCAGUGACACUGUCAUUCACUAACUGCUUGGGGAAGCUAGAGGUCGAUCACCGACCGGCAGACAUGUCACAGGGUCACCACGCCCCUUAAUCACUCCACUUGAAAAUGCCCCGCCUAGUGGUAACGCGCUAGGUAAAAAAAACCGAACAACUGUUAACAAUGGAUAUCUUGGUUCUC